UAAGGUGGUUAUAGCGAUGGGGCUCACCUCUUCCCAUACCGAACAGAGAAGUUAAGCCCAUUUGCGCCGAUGGUACUGCCGUAAGGUGGGAGAGUAGGUCGCUGCCUUUC
RNAcentral lists this ribosomal RNA (110 nucleotides) under Flavobacteriaceae bacterium. Lineage: Bacteria; Pseudomonadati; Bacteroidota; Flavobacteriia; Flavobacteriales; Flavobacteriaceae. The record is from RNAcentral.